GGUCGGAUAGUGUAGUGGUAGCACGCCUGGGUUCGUAACGGUCUCCAUUAUACGGCUUUGGGUCCACUUGGGACUCCAGGAAGGCCAGUUCGAAUCUGGUUCCGACCA
Cercophora sp. LCS_1 is the source of this 108-nucleotide non-coding RNA. NCBI's taxonomy places the organism in Eukaryota, Fungi, Ascomycota, Sordariomycetes, Sordariales, Lasiosphaeriaceae. The record is from the annotation of a GenBank genome assembly.